GCUUACACAUGCAGUCGAACGCAUCCUUCGGGGUGAGUGGCAGACGGGUGAGUAACACGUGGGAACGUACCCUUCAGUUCGGAAUAACCCUGGGAAACUAGGGCUAAUACCGGAUACGGCCGAGAGGCGAAAGGUUUACUGCUGAAGGAUCGGCCCGCGUCCGAUUAGCUAGUUGGUGUUGGUAACGGCUCACCAAGGCGACGAUCGGUAGCUGGUCUGAGAGGAUGACCAGCCACAUUGGGACUGAGACACGGCCCAAACUCCUACGGGAGGCAGCAGUGGGGAAUAUUGGACAAUGGGCGCAAGCCUGAUCCAGCCAUGCCGCGUGAGUGAUGACGGCCUUAGGGUUGUAAAGCUCUUUUACCUGGGAAGAUAAUGACGGUACCAGGAGAAUAAGCCCCGGCUAACUUCGUGCCAGCAGCCGCGGUAAUACGAAGGGGGCUAGCGUUGUUCGGAUUUACUGGGCGUAAAGGGCGCGUAGGCGGGCGAAUAAGUCAGGGGUGAAAUCCCAAGGCUCAACCUUGGAACUGCCUUUGAUACUGUUUGUCUUGAGUUCGAGAGAGGUAAGUGGAACUGCGAGUGUAGAGGUGAAAUUCGUAGAUAUUCGCAAGAACACCAGUGGCGAAGGCGGCUUACUGGCUCGAAACUGACGCUGAGGCGCGAAAGCGUGGGGAGCAAACAGGAUUAGAUACCCUGGUAGUCCACGCCUUAAACGAUGGAUGCUAGCCGUCGGGCAGCUUGCUGCUCUGUGGCGCCGUUAACACAUUAGCAUCCCGCUGGGAGUACGUC
This 789-nucleotide ribosomal RNA is filed under the name Hyphomicrobiales bacterium. RNAcentral describes it as "bacterial SSU rRNA". It matches the Rfam family "Bacterial small subunit ribosomal RNA", at positions 46 to 886 of the family's 1533-position model. Lineage: Bacteria; Pseudomonadati; Pseudomonadota; Alphaproteobacteria; Hyphomicrobiales. The record is from RNAcentral.